Molecule: ribosomal RNA, 483 nt
Filed under: uncultured bacterium
Lineage: Bacteria
Description: partial 16S ribosomal RNA
Rfam family: Bacterial small subunit ribosomal RNA
Source: RNAcentral
GACGAACGCUGGCGGCGUGCUUAACACAUGCAAGUCGAACGCUGAAGCUCAGCUUUUGUUGGGUGGAUGAGUGGCGAACGGGUGAGUAACACGUGAGUAACCUGCCUCCUUCUUUGGGAUAACGCCCGGAAACGGGUGCUAAUACUGGAUAUUCACUGGUCUUCGCAUGGGGGUUGGUGGAAAGGGUUUUUCUGGUGGGGGAUGGGCUCGCGGCCUAUCAGCUUGUUGGUGGGGUGAUGGCCUACCAAGGCUUUGACGGGUAGCCGGCCUGAGAGGGUGACCGGUCACAUUGGGACUGAGAUACGGCCCAGACUCCGACGGGAGGCAGCAGUGGGGAAUAUUGCACAAUGGGCGCAGGCCUGAUGCAGCGACGCCGCGUGAGGGAUGGAGGCCUUCGGGUUGUGAACCUCUUUCGCUCAUGGUCAAGCCGCAACAAUGGUUGUGGUGAGGGUAGUGGGUAAAGAAGCGCCGGCUAACUACGUG